RNAcentral lists this ribosomal RNA (257 nucleotides) under uncultured bacterium. RNAcentral describes it as "partial 16S ribosomal RNA". It matches the Rfam family "Bacterial small subunit ribosomal RNA", at positions 521 to 776 of the family's 1533-position model. The record is from RNAcentral.
UAAUACGUAGGGGGCAAGCGUUGUCCGGAUUCAUUGGGCGUAAAGAGCUCGUAGGCGGUUCAGUAAGUCGGGUGUGAAAGCUCCGAGCUCAACUCGGAGAGGCCACCCGAUACUGCUGUGACUUGAGUCCAGUAGAGGAGCGUGGAACUCCUGGUGUAGCGGUGGAAUGCGCAGAUAUCAGGAAGAACACCUGCAGCGAAGGCGGCGCUCUGGGCUGGAACUGACGCUGAGGAGCGAAAGCGUGGGUAGCAAACAGG